This 4056-nucleotide small RNA is filed under the name Pongo abelii (Sumatran orangutan). Its description in RNAcentral is "retained intron". Lineage: Eukaryota; Metazoa; Chordata; Mammalia; Primates; Hominidae. The record is from RNAcentral.
GGAGGCCCCAGCUCCCUAGGGGCUGAGAAGCUGGAGUCCUGGGGAAGGGGAGGAGCUGAGCCCUACUCUUGCAAGACCCCCGCCCUCCUCCCCCAGCAGGAAGCAUGAACAGAAAAGACAGCAAGAGGAAGUCCCACCAGGAAUGCACCGGAAAGACAGGAGGGCGGGGCCGGCCCCGCCAAGCGCGUCGCCACAAGACAUGCCCCAGCCCCCGGGAAAUCAGCAAGGUCAUGGCUUCCAUGAACCUGGGCCUUCUGAGUGAGGGCGGCUGCAGCGAAGAUGAGCUGCUGGAGAAAUGCAUCCAGUCCUUCGAUUCAGCUGGCAGCCUGUGCCAUGGGGACCACAUGCUCAACAUGGUGCUGGCCAUGCACAGCUGGGUGCUGCCAUCUGCCGACCUGGCUGCCCGCCUGCUGACCUCAUACCAGAAGGCCACAGGGGACACCCAGGAGCUGAGACGGCUGCAGAUCUGUCACCUGGUCAGGUACUGGCUGACGCAACACCCUGAGGUGAUGCACCAGGAUCCCCAGCUAGAAGAAGUCAUAGGUCGUUUCUGGGCCACCGUGGCCCAGGAGGGCAACUCGGCCCAGAGAAGACUGGGAGACUCUUCUAACCUGUGAGUCAGCCCUGCACUCCCCUCUUCCCUGCCCCAUCCCCAUUCUGCCAUCUCCCUCUACAUCCCCAAGCCCUCAACUGUGAGCCACUCCAAUACCCUGCCCCUCUUGGCCCCCAGCCUGAGCCCUGGUGGCCCUGGCCCCCCACUCCCCAUGAGCAGCCCAGGCCUGGGCAAAAAGCGCAAAGUGUCCUUGCUUUUCGACCACUUGGAGACGGGGGAGCUGGCUCAGCACCUCACCUACCUGGAGUUCCGGUCCUUCCAGGCUAUCACGCCCCAGGAUCUGCGGAGCUACGUUUUGCAGGGCUCAGUACGAGGCUGCCCGGCCCUGGAGGGCUCCGUAGGUCUCAGCAACAGCGUGUCCCGCUGGGUGCAGGUGAUGGUGCUGAGCCGUCCCGGGCCCCUACAGCGCGCACAGGUGCUGGACAAGUUCAUUCACGUGGCACAGAGGCUCCGCCAGCUGCAGAAUUUCAACACGCUGAUGGCAGUCACAGGGGGCCUAUGUCACAGUGCCAUCUCCAGACUCAAGGACUCCCAUGCCCACCUGAGCCCUGACAGCACCAAGGCCCUCCUGGAGCUCACUGAGCUCCUUGCCUCCCACAACAACUACGCCCGCUACCGCCGCACCUGGGCUGGCUGUGCGGGCUUCCGGCUGCCUGUACUGGGCGUGCACCUCAAGGACCUGGUGUCCCUGCAUGAGGCACAGCCCGACAGGUUGCCUGACGGCCGCCUGCACCUACCCAAGCUGAACAACCUCUACCUGCGGCUGCAGGAGCUGGUGGCCCUCCAAGGGCAGCAUCCACCCUGCAGCGCCAAUGAGGACCUGCUGCACCUGCUCACGCUCUCCCUGGACCUCUUCUACACGGAAGACGAGAUCUAUGAGCUUUCUUAUGCCCGGGAGCCGCGUUGUCCCAAGAGUCUGCCACCCUCCCCCUUCAACGCACCUCUGGUGGUGGAAUGGGCCCCUGGUGUGACACCCAAGCCGGACAGGAUCACGCUGGGUCGGCAUGUGGAGCAGCUGGUGGAGGUAAGGAGGGGCCGCCGGCAGCCAGGAGGGAAGACAUCUGUAGAACCCUGAGCCUGGAGGUGGGGACUUAUAUGGCCAUGGGGAUCAUAUUUCGACAACUGGGCCUUAUCUGCUUCCCCACACUUCUCUGAAGUCUGUGUUCAAGAAUUAUGACCCUGAAGGCCGAGGAACAAUCUCUCAGGAGGACUUUGAGCGACUCUCGGGCAAUUUUCCCUUCGCCUGCCAUGGGCUUCACCCACCCCCACGCCAGGGGAGAGGCUCCUUCAGCAGAGAGGAGCUGACAGGGUACCUGCUCCGGGCCAGCGCCAUCUGCUCCAAGCUGGGCCUCGCCUUCCUGCACACCUUCCAUGAGGUCACCUUCCGAAAGCCUACCUUCUGCGACAGCUGCAGUGGCUUCGUGAGCACUCCACCCCAUCACCGCCCUUAGGUUCCAUCUGUGCUGAAGCCGGUAGUCCGCAAACCCCAGAUAACCCCCAAAUUCCAGAAAUCCUCUAGCUUCAAAUCAUCCUGUUUCAUAUAAACCCUAAACACCAGACAUUCCCUAUAUCCUGGAUAAUCUCCAAAUGCCAGAUAAUCCCCAAAUCCCAGAUAAUCUCCACCCCAGACAAUCGCUGAACCAUGGAUAAUAUCUGAAACUCUGGAUAGGAGGCCAGGAGAUCCUCCCACCUUGGCGUCUCAAAGUGCUGGGAUUACUGGCAUGAGCCACUGCACCCACCCACAUUCCUUUAAUUCCAGUUAAAUCUCUAGCCUUGAGAAUUUCAAAACCUGGGUAGCUUCCACACUUCCACUCCCCAGCUGCCCUGCCAAUCCACAGCCUUCCCUCUCCUAGGAUGGGUAAUCUUUUCUCCUUUCUCUUCCCAGCUCUGGGGUGUCACCAAGCAAGGCUACCGCUGUCGGGGUGAGUGGGGUGUCAGCGAGUGGGAGGGAAGCCUUGGCCCGCAGGCUGGAAGGAUGGAUGACACAGAUCGGACCCCUGGCCAUUAACCGCUGCCUUCCCCAGAGUGCGGGCUGUGUUGCCACAAACACUGCAGAGAGCAACUGAAGGUAGAAUGUAAGAAGAGGCCAGGGGCCAAGGGCGAUGCAGGACCCCCCGGAGCUCCUGUCCCAUCCACACCAGCUCCCCAUGCCAGCUGUGGUAAGACCUAGAGCACGCCAGUGCUGGGAAGGGGCCUAGGGGAAAGGGGUUGAGUCCAAGGUCAAGAGGCCCUUCCCAUCAGACCCACAUCCCUUCCAUCCACCCACAAACAGGCUCCGAGGAAAAUCUCUCCUACACGCUAUCCCUGGAACCUGAGACUGGGUGCCAGCUUCGCCAUGCCUGGACCCAGACUGAAUCCCCACACCCUUCCUGGGAAACAGAUACGGUCCCCUGCCCAGUGAUGGACCCACCAUCAACUGCAUCCUCGAAGCUGGAUUCCUAGACAUCUCUUGGUCUCCUCUCUUCCUCACUCCCUUCCCCCAGUCAGUCCUGAGUCCUGUCGUCAGACUCUGGCAGGGCUCCCAGAGGUAGGCCCCCAGAGGCAUCCGCCUUCCCAUCCACACUGCCUUUGGUGGUACGUCCAUCAUCUUUUUCCCUGGAAGUGACUUCCCUCUUUUGCAUCCUGGUGGAUGCUACUCCUGCUCCCUUCCCCUGCACUUAGUAUCUGUGCAGCUCUGUGUUGGAUACAUUUAGACUCAGGCCUCAUUUUACCAACUCCCUAAAUCUCCAUUUCUUUUUUUUUUUUUUUUUUUUUUUUGAGACAGUCUCGCUCUGUCACCCAGGCUGGAAUGCAAUGAUGCAAUCUCAGCUCACUGCAACCUCCGCCUCCCGGGUUCAAGUGAUUCUUCUGUCUCAGCCUCCCAAGUAGCUUGGAUUACAGGCACGCGCCACCAUGCCUGGCUAAUUUUUGUAUUUUUAGUAGAGACGGGGUUUCCCCACAUUGGCCAAGAUGGUCUCGAACUCCUGACCUCAUGAUCCACCAGCCUCGGCCUCCCAAAGUGCUGGGAUUACAGGUGUGAGCCACCAUGCCCAGCUCCUGCUUUUUUCUGCAUAGAACGUUCUCCCUCUGACAGCCUAUACUUUUUCCCUCUUUAUCUCGUUGAAUGUCUGUCUUUCCUCAACAGGAACAUCAACUCCAGGAGAACAGGGAUUUCUAUCAGUGUCAUUUACUGCUGCAUCCCCAGUGCCUAGAACAGGGCUGGCAGGUGGUAGGCGCCUGACAGAUGCUUGUCUGAUGCCUGAAUGUCUCCUUACCCACGCCCACGGCGCAGGAUAGAUGUGCUGUAGGGCAAAGAACUUUGAGGGUCGAGCAGCAGGGGCCCAUUCAGUCCCAGGGAGCAGAGACCCCCCCACCCCUUCACAAACCCCAACACCCCUGACUUGGCCCCCACAGAGAGAGGUCCUAUAGCUGUCAUAAAUUAAAUUUAUUCUCUGGAGAACAUG